UGAAAAACUGGUUCAGUAUCAAAUUCUUAUCCAUUUUCCCUCUUUCAUUCUUUUUAAGUAGUUGUGAUGUCACAAAUGCAACUCCAGUGUUCCACCAAAUGAUGUAGACUAAGAACUGAAACUGCUCUGCAAUUGCCCAAAUUAUAGUGAAUAUCAGAUAAAAGGUUUGCUAUCUCCUGCUGUCUAUUUUCAGGAGCCAUAAAUAACCCAGCACAAGCAGAGCUACCCCCUGCAAGCAACACGAUGCCUUCUGGAAGUCUGAAUAGGGGAAGAACAGUCUUGCCAUCUCAGUAAUGUUCUGAUUCAGCCAAUUUAUGGUGGGAACUGAGAUCCUUCAUUUCUAAGAAGCAACCAGGAGAUGCCAACUCUACAGGUCCAGGGCUCAGGUUUUGAGUGAGGACCUUGGACUUCAAAUAACCUGGAUUUGUCCCAGAUUGCAAGUGUUUUCAGACAUCCUCAGAAGGAGAGGUUUGGAGCAUUUCUUGGGCUCAACUCCUAGAAAUAGACCAUAAACUCCAAGAGGGAAAGGACUUAAAAUACAGGAACUCAAAUACUAUCUACUAAAUGAAUGAAUGAAUGAAUGAAUGAAUGGAGUUCCCUUUCAUCAUCACAGCCAAAGCCCUUAUUCAAUAGAACAAAAUAGGUUCCAACACAAGGCAGACAUGGAUCUUGGCUUCAAAGGAUUUAUGGAUUAAAGAAGAUAAACCAUGGGCUUAAGUAACUGUAAUUCCAAAAAGAAAUAUAUAGGUGGCAUAAGACAUGGACAGCUAAACUGUGAUGGGAAUUCAAGCGAUGCCUGAUCUUGGCUGUACAACUGUUAUCUCAUCUAAAUCCUACAGCUGUGUCACUUCCUAACGACCACCAUCCCUGCAAGACAGCUGUUGCUCUUAAUUGGCAGGAAUAAAACAUAUGAGCAUUAAAAAACUAGCCUGGAUGAUGAGCUACACAAAAAAAUCCAUUUACAUUUUUUUCCAAACUAUUUGAAGCAAGAAAAGGCAGGGCAGAAGGCUUCAUCAGAAAGACAUGGAGUUCCUUGGUCUCACACCCAGAAUUUUGCAACUGAAAUUGCAUAGAACCAAGCUGCCUCUUGGCCAGUCCAAAGGAGAGUCCCACCCACAAAAACAUUGAAAAGUAUUUGAAGUCUCUAUCAAAUUUUCCUGAUGAGCUGCCAAAGGAGAAUUCUGUUAUAAAUCACAGUGAAACUUCUUAAAAUCCACUUUUUCCA
This is a long non-coding RNA of Equus caballus (horse), 1225 nucleotides long. RefSeq lists it as uncharacterized. Lineage: Eukaryota; Metazoa; Chordata; Mammalia; Perissodactyla; Equidae. The record is from RefSeq and is a predicted model, not a curated record.